AUGAAGAGUUUGAUCCUGGCUCAGGAUGAACGCUAGCGGCAGGCCUAACACAUGCAAGUCGAACGGUAACAGGAAUUAGCUUGCUAAUUUGCUGACGAGUGGCGCACGGGUGCGUAACGCGUAUACAAUCUACCUUUUGCUGAGGGAUAGCCCAGAGAAAUUUGGAUUAAUACCUCAUGGUAUUAUUGAUAGGCAUCUAUUAAUAAUUAAAGGUUACGGCAAAAGAUGAGUAUGCGUCCCAUUAGCUAGUUGGCGAGGUAACGGCUCACCAAGGCAACGAUGGGUAGGGGUCCUGAGAGGGAGAUCCCCCACACUGGUACUGAGACACGGACCAGACUCCUACGGGAGGCAGCAGUGAGGAAUAUUGGACAAUGGGCGAGAGCCUGAUCCAGCCAUGCCGCGUGCAGGAAGACUGCCCUAUGGGUUGUAAACUGCUUUUAUACAGGAAGAAUAAGCCUUACGUGUAAGGUGAUGACGGUACUGUAAGAAUAAGGACCGGCUAACUCCGUGCCAGCAGCCGCGGUAAUACGGAGGGAGCUAGCGUUGUUCGGAAUUACUGGGCGUAAAGCGCACGUAGGCGGCUUUUCAAGUCAGGGGUGAAAUCCCGGGGCUCAACCCCGGAACUGCCCUUGAAACUGGAUGGCUAGAAUACUGGAGAGGUGAGUGGAAUUCCGAGUGUAGAGGUGAAAUUCGUAGAUAUUCGGAAGAACACCAGUGGCGAAGGCGACUCACUGGACAGUUAUUGACGCUGAGGUGCGAAAGCGUGGGGAGCAAACAGGA
Molecule: ribosomal RNA, 780 nt
Filed under: Pteridomonas danica
Lineage: Eukaryota; Dictyochophyceae; Pedinellales
Description: partial Bacterial small subunit ribosomal RNA
Rfam family: Bacterial small subunit ribosomal RNA
Source: RNAcentral